GACGGAGGAGGCAAGCGUUAUCCGGAAUUAUUGGGCGUAAAGCGUCCGCAGGUGGCUUCACCAGUCUGCUGUCAAAGGCCGGGGCUUAACCCUGGAGCGGCGGUGGAAACUGUGAGGCUAGAGUGCGGUAGGGGCAGAGGGAAUUCCAGGUGUAGCGGUGAAAUGCGUAGAUAUCUGGAAGAACACCCGUGGCGAAAGCGCUCUGCUGGGCCUGCACUGACACUCAUGGACGAAAGCUAGGGGAGCGAAUGGG
This 253-nucleotide ribosomal RNA is filed under the name uncultured cyanobacterium. RNAcentral's name for it is "partial 16S ribosomal RNA". It matches the Rfam family "Bacterial small subunit ribosomal RNA", at positions 524 to 776 of the family's 1533-position model. The record is from RNAcentral. Lineage: Bacteria; Bacillati; Cyanobacteriota.